GUUGAAAUCAGGAAGGAAAGCUCCAAAAUCUAUUUAUUUUUCACCUCUGCCGACGAGAUGUAUGCUUGCAAGGAGUGAAGAGAAUGACUCGCUAUAUCCUCCAACUUAUCGUGUGUGCAACGUAUACUUGUGCAUAUAACAAUUAAGCAUUACGGAAACCUGCCUGGCAAAAAAAAGAUUUUUCACAAUCCUGGGGAGCAGACAAGGCUGUGGAUGGGAUGUAUACUGACCGUAGUGCUCUGGGUAACCAGUGUACAAUAUCAGCAAACAAACAACAGACAGCAGAAUGGAGAGUAGAUUUACAGAGUGUGGUCAGCAUCAGUUACAUCAACAUCUUCUACAGGACGGAUAACAGACAAAGUCCCAGUCAUUAUGUGGGAAGAUUUGCUGGGUUUUUUCUCUAUGUUUCAAAUACAACAUCAAAAUCAGAUGGUCAUCUGUGUUUUCAUGAGAUUCAGACCGUUAACACUACACCUGUAGAGGACCAGAGGAUCAACUGUUCUGUUCAUGGCCGUUAUGUCAUCUACUAUAACGAGCGUUCUACGGGUGUAACUUAUCCAAAUUACUACUCCGAAUAUGCCUUCAACGAAUUAUGUGAAGUUGAAG
This is a long non-coding RNA of Saccostrea cuccullata (small rock oyster), 606 nucleotides long. RefSeq lists it as uncharacterized. Lineage: Eukaryota; Metazoa; Mollusca; Bivalvia; Ostreida; Ostreidae. The record is from RefSeq and is a predicted model, not a curated record. The transcript is spliced from 4 exons.